CACUUGUCGCACUCACUGACGCAUGUCGGCUGCGCGCCUAUAAGUAUAGCCUAUAUUUCAAAAGCGCUGACUCCGGUGUAUUCCGGGGUGGAGGGAUCACCUCUCAUCCUCAAUGUCACUCACUCUCCCGGAGAGAUGGGCCGGCGCUUACAUGAACACUAAGAUCCCUGUAACUGUCACAGAGCUGACCGUUGCUGAGGACAGAGUAGUGUCCAUCCACUCCUAUUCUUCCAGGAGAGGUCAACCUCCCCGUUCCAUCUUCCCUUCACAUUGACAGGUUCAACACCAGGCAGACACAAAGGACUGCAUCUCUCUCUGUCCCCUGGCCAAGCCACUGGGAAGAAUAGAGAGGAUGACAUGUCACAGACUGACACAAACAGAGAAGCUGCUACAGGGAAGGCUGGUCAUCCUUUGAAGAUGCAUGGACAGUGUAGAGCUGGGACCAUAAACUCAAAGUGACCGUGACUAUCCAGCAGACCACUUAUCGAG
Molecule: long non-coding RNA, 489 nt
Filed under: Salmo salar (Atlantic salmon)
Lineage: Eukaryota; Metazoa; Chordata; Actinopteri; Salmoniformes; Salmonidae
Description: lncRNA (ENSSSAG00000101191.1)
Source: RNAcentral